This is a long non-coding RNA of Oncorhynchus tshawytscha (Chinook salmon), 491 nucleotides long. Lineage: Eukaryota; Metazoa; Chordata; Actinopteri; Salmoniformes; Salmonidae. The record is from Ensembl.
UGUGAACCCUGUGUGUUAGCUAGGGAUGGGCCUCGGGUUAUUCAGUAUCCCAACAGACAUUAAUAUUACAAAACAACGACAACUCGCAGGUAGGGACGUGUGUGAACCCUGUGUGUUAGCUAGGGAUGGGCCUCGGGUUAUUCAGUAUCCCAACAGACAUUAAUAUUACAAUACAACGACAACUCACAGUCUGCAGAGGACCUGUUUGACUACGGGUCGUUAGGUCAGGUGGGUUCUGAGGCGGCGAUGCAGGCAGCUGACCUCUUGAUGGGAGACUUCAGGAUGAUUUCCUGUCAGGACAUCAAAUGGAGCCUCAACGCCAUGAAGGGGCACUACGCAAUCACACGCAAGGCCUCACUCGGCGUCUCUCUCUCUCUGUGUGUUUCAGGCCUCACUCGGCGUCUCUCUCUCUCUGUGUGUUUCAGGCCUCACUCGGCGUCUCUCUCUCUGUGUGUUUCAGGCCUCACUCGGCGUCUCUCUCUCUGUGUGUU